Molecule: ribosomal RNA, 465 nt
Filed under: Vreelandella stevensii
Lineage: Bacteria; Pseudomonadati; Pseudomonadota; Gammaproteobacteria; Oceanospirillales; Halomonadaceae
Description: partial 16S ribosomal RNA
Rfam family: Bacterial small subunit ribosomal RNA
Source: RNAcentral
CCUACGGGUGGCUGCAGUGGGGAAUAUUGGACAAUGGGGGCAACCCUGAUCCAGCCAUGCCGCGUGUGUGAAGAAGGCCCUCGGGUUGUAAAGCACUUUCAGUGAGGAAGAACGCCUGGUGGUUAAUACCCAUCAGGAAAGACAUCACUCACAGAAGAAGCACCGGCUAACUCCGUGCCAGCAGCCGCGGUAAUACGGAGGGUGCGAGCGUUAAUCGGAAUUACUGGGCGUAAAGCGCGCGUAGGUGGCUUGAUAAGCCGGUUGUGAAAGCCCCGGGCUCAACCUGGGAACGGCAUCCGGAACUGUCAAGCUAGAGUGCAGGAGAGGAAGGUAGAAUUCCCGGUGUAGCGGUGAAAUGCGUAGAGAUCGAGAGGAAUACCAGUGGCGAAGGCGGCCUUCUGGACUGACACUGACACUGAGGUGCGAAAGCGUGGGUAGCAAACAGGAUUAGAUACCCGUGUAGUC